Molecule: long non-coding RNA, 244 nt
Organism: Dicentrarchus labrax (European seabass)
Lineage: Eukaryota; Metazoa; Chordata; Actinopteri; Moronidae
Exons: 3
Source: RefSeq, a predicted model, not a curated record
CUCGUAUCUUGCAGAGUAAACCUCCAACAUACCCACAAGAGCUCACAGCCAGUACCGCGCUAAAAGGCAAAACUGUGACCCCAACAAGCAGGUCAGCUACAGCGAGAGAGAGGAUGAGGUAGUUUGUAGGAGUGUGGAGCUGUUUGAAGUAAAUGAUGGAGGUUAUUAAAAGAAGGUUUCCACACAUUAUAAGAACUGAUAAAGAGCCAAUAAAAAUACAUAACAAAUACGUGCUGGUGGUGAG